GACGAACGCUGGCGGCGUGCCUAAUACAUGCAAGUUGAGCGAUGAAGAUUGGUGCUUGCACCAAUUUGAAGAGCAGCGAACGGGUGAGUAACGCGUGGGGAAUCUGCCUUUGGGCGGGGGACAACAUUUGGAAACGAAUGCUAAUACCGCAUAACAACUUUAAACAUAAGUUUUAAGUUUGAAAGAUGCAAUUGCAUCACUCAAAGAUGAUCCCGCGUUGUAUUAGCUAGUUGGUGAGGUAAAGGCUCACCAAGGCGAUGAUACAUAGCCGACCUGAGAGGGUGAUCGGCCACAUUGGGACUGAGACACGGCCCAAACUCCUACGGGAGGCAGCAGUAGGGAAUCUUCGGCAAUGGACGAAAGUCUGGCCGAGCAACGCCGCGUGAGUGAAGAAGGGUUUCGGAUCGUAAAACUCUGUUGGUAGAGAAGAACGUUGGUGAGAGUGGAAAGCUCAUCAAGUGACGGUAACUACCCAGAAAGGGACGGCUAACUACGUG
RNAcentral lists this ribosomal RNA (497 nucleotides) under uncultured bacterium. RNAcentral describes it as "partial 16S ribosomal RNA". It matches the Rfam family "Bacterial small subunit ribosomal RNA", at positions 28 to 507 of the family's 1533-position model. The record is from RNAcentral.